This 377-nucleotide long non-coding RNA is filed under the name Bos taurus (domestic cattle). RNAcentral's name for it is "long non-coding RNA NONBTAT009333". Lineage: Eukaryota; Metazoa; Chordata; Mammalia; Artiodactyla; Bovidae. The record is from RNAcentral.
GUACUAAAACUUUGAUUCUGUAAUGAUGCAUGCCUAUUGUAGCUGACAGCAUGGGUCAGUCCGUUCUUCAGUGAGUGCCUUACUCUAGUUGAAACCAAGCACAUGUAAGGUACAGUAUGUUAGACUAUCUAGUUACGUUUUUAAAACCCCCUAUUACCUUCUCAGUCUUUAGUGAAAAAUAUAAAGUGCCAAGAAAUCUUGCAAGACAGAAUCCAUACAUACACUCUUUCCAAAACACUGUGACCAUGUAUAGUAGACGUUUUUAUUUCCUGAUGACCAAAUCUCUCAGUGAAUCAUGUUAAAUAUUUUAGUGCUCCUCAGUUUUCUCUUUUAUGACCCUCUCCUUGGAGUACACAGGAGGAAAGAGAGGAAUGCGG